Molecule: long non-coding RNA, 2631 nt
Filed under: Solanum lycopersicum (tomato)
Lineage: Eukaryota; Viridiplantae; Streptophyta; Magnoliopsida; Solanales; Solanaceae
Description: long non-coding RNA (SLYC_LNC000839)
Source: RNAcentral
UCAUUAAUUACAAAUUAAACUUAAAUUUUAAUUACAUUACAUGAAAUCUUUUCUUUCCUUUUUUUUUCUUUUUCUUUUUUCAAAUCAAAUUCCCUAUCACAUUUAUCAAUUAACAAAAUUAAAAAAUAGUACACCUAACAAUCGUAAAACUGCAUCGUUCCCAAUAAUCAAAAAACGAAAAUAAACUAUAGCACUAGUUAAUUUAUUUUUUUUAAAAAAAGGAAAGGAAUAAGCAAAUACAGAAGAAUGGCCAGAGCUCAAAGAGGUUUCCAAAACUCCAGUCAUCUUCUUCAAUCAGCCGCGCAGAAAUUUAUGGCUAUCUCUAUAUAUCAUAUCUGUCUGACCUUCAUCCUUUACAAAAAAUAUCAUGUCCGACAUGUAAUCAAUUUGAUUGUAUGUAUUUAUAUAGUGUUCAAAAGUUAACGUUAAAGAACUUUUCAAAUUCUGUAAUUAAGUGUAAAGAAUAAAUCUUCUUAAAAUUUACAAUUAAGAAAAAAAAUUUAAUGUAAAAAUUGAUAACUGAAGUUUUUAUGUGUAUAAUCUAAUGAGGAAAUGAUUAAUAUUAUGCGUUAAUAUUCUGCAAAAACAUUAAAUGAAGAAAAGCUAAAAAAAGAAAUUCAGCCCUCGAAGACAUGCCAUAUCAGGAAUUCUAGAUUCAGAUUAAUAAAGAUAUAUAGAUUCCUUUUAGAGGCCUUUUAAGUGGUAUAAAUCAAACACCAUUCAUGUUCUUUCAGUCAAAAUCUUCUUCCUCCUCCUUUUUACCUUCAAAUGAACAAAUUCAUCUUCGAAGAAUCGAUAAAAAUCAUACCAUCUAUUAACAAGCUACUAAAGGUUAGAUUUCUCAUUAUGUUCUUUCUUUUUCACCUUUGUUCAUCGCGUUUUUAUAAAUUUUUAUCUAGAUAAAACUUUAAACACGACGAAGGUGGAAACAAAAAAAUAAUGAGAAAGCUCACCUCUAGUAAUUACUUGUUAAUGGAUGGUAUGAUUUAUAUCUAUGCUUCAAAGAAGAAUGGAAAAUUUUGUUCAUUACAAGGUAAAAAGGGGGAGGAAGAAGAUAUAUUGAAAUUAGAUACACAAUGUGUGUUUGAUUUAUAGAAGUUAAAAAGGGCUAAAAAGGUAUAUUAAUUUAUUAAGAGAUGAAAUGGAUUUUAAUAAUUUUUUAAAUGGUAAAGGGCCUAAAAUGCUUCUCAGCUAUUUGCAUUAGUAUAAAAGUAUCCUUUAUCCACCUUUCAGCCCCCUAAAUACCCCUGACGUCAGCUUCUUGAACCAAAAGGUUUGAGUCAGAGGCUAGGAGGUUAAAAGGUCAAUGAGCGGUAAUUUUGUACUAAUUCAAAUAGUUUGAAGGGCAUUUUAGGCCCUCUCACUUAGAAAACUAUUAAAAUACACUUAUCUCUUAAUUAACUUAUCUUUUUAUUUCUGUAGUUUAUAAAUCAAACACACACUAUAUAUCUGAUUGCAAAUAUAUCUUCAUCAGACUAAUGUAUUAAAGCAAAGUAUUACAAAUUUACAACAAAGUGAAAUGUUAUAAUCUAAACUCUUAAAACGGACGAACAGAAGGGGCAUUUAUACUUCAUUAUUGUAAUUAGCAUUUUUUAUCACAUACUCUAAACUAAAUAACUGUGAUUAGCAAUUAUAUUUUGUUCUAAUCAUAUAUACUUCAGUUAUUAGCUUCUAGUAGUUGCCUAUAAACAGUGGCGGAUCUAGGCGGGAUUCAAACCCUCAACAAUGGCUUCGCACGCCUCUUAUUGCAGAGGUUUAAACUAGCUCACCCACAACUGCUUUUGUUCUAUGGAUGCUCAUUUAAAUUAUAAUAACACAUGUAUCAUAUUUUCUGUAUAUAUAUAUACAAAAAAUUUUGGAAAUCAAUGGGUGCUCGAGCACCCGCGUUUGGCUUACUGGGUCCGCCCCUGCCUAUAAAUAAAAUGGUCUAGUUAUAUUAUAUGUCUGUUAUAAACUUUAUUAGAAUGAGUAAUUAUAUUUUUCUAUUAAUAAGGAGGGGAAAAUAAUAGUCAAGAUAUGAUUGAAUUCCAACUUGUGAAAACCAAUUUAAAAUGCAACUUUUAAUUUUAAGAAGGAAUGUACAACAAAACUUAAUGUGAAAGAACCCCCACCGACCCACCCACCCAGCUCCAUUGCCAUCCCUAAUUUUGGCUCCCCUCUUGUUUCAGUUCUUUUGAGAUAUCACCUACUCGAAAAGAAUUAUGUUUGAGACGAAAUCAUUUUGGAAUUUCAGCCAAGUUUGUCAUUCAUGUAUAGUCUUUCAUAUUGACUCGAAUGAGAAACAUACGAUCUUAAGAAGUUGUCUUCAGUAGAUGAGAUAUGAGGAAUAAUGAUGGAGAAGAUCUUAGUUGAAGGACGCACUAAGUUGCCCUAUUUAAGGUUGAAUGUUGACGAGCCGAACCCAAUCAUUGGAAAUGAUACUUUUAAUUUUUCGAGAUCUACUAUGUUUUGUGAAUAAACAUCAUAAGAAAGCUAGAUUAAAAUGCAUACCUGUUAAGUCAUCUUGUUUAUCAAUGCAGAAGCGUGUUUCAGACAUGUGGUACAUUCAACUAGCUCUUCUUCUCUUGCUUCUCAUUCUUUCUCCUCCAACUAGGAUUCGAAUGCGGUGGGUCUUCAUAAGGUUAAUGAGAU